Long non-coding RNA from Corticium candelabrum, 347 nucleotides. RefSeq lists it as uncharacterized. Lineage: Eukaryota; Metazoa; Porifera; Homoscleromorpha; Homosclerophorida; Plakinidae. The record is from RefSeq and is a predicted model, not a curated record. The transcript has 3 exons.
GAGACAAACAUGCCUACGAGACACGAGACGAGUUACUUGUGACAGAGAAGAUAGAGGCAGUCAGUGCAAAACUUCAGUACUUGCCGGAUUUUCUAAUGUUACGUGACACGUAUGUGGACCAGAUGCCGAAUGGUUGCCACUGGAAAAUGCCUGCUGAUUGAGUUUGUCGUUUGUGCAAGCUACUGCUUACGCUGUAGUAGAGCAGAGUGGUUAGACUGCCAAGGAUUGGCAAUCCGGGGAAUGACGAGACUGCGAGUCUGAAAUCACCAGCAGUCUCUUGUGAUCCAGCAGUUGUUACUGGUCCUCGAGGUCUUCCUGGUCCUGUGGGUCAGAGAGGCAUGCCUGGG